This 74-nucleotide transfer RNA is filed under the name Maioricimonas rarisocia. RNAcentral's name for it is "Planctomycetes bacterium Mal4 tRNA-Lys". It matches the Rfam family "tRNA". From Rfam's summary of the family: Transfer RNA (tRNA) molecules are approximately 80 nucleotides in length. Their secondary structure includes four short double-helical elements and three loops (D, anti-codon, and T loops). Lineage: Bacteria; Pseudomonadati; Planctomycetota; Planctomycetia; Planctomycetales; Planctomycetaceae. The record is from RNAcentral.
GCCCCUGUAGCUCAAUUGGCAGAGCAACUGACUCUUAAUCAGUAGGUUGAAGGUUCGAGUCCUUCCGGGGGCAC